RNAcentral lists this unclassified non-coding RNA (297 nucleotides) under uncultured fungus. Its description in RNAcentral is "sequence contains ITS1". The record is from RNAcentral. Lineage: Eukaryota; Fungi.
GUAUAUUUCAUUUCUAUAGGUACAAAAAGACCUGAUCCAACAUUCUGAACAUGUUUAAAGAGGUUGUGAAAAAAGACAUAGACCUGAAAAUGACAAGGCAAAGCUGACUUUCUCAGAUGGAAAGCACAGCAAUCCCGACUCGAAUGAAAAUUCAUAAAUCUCCAGGGUCUACAAAGUGUGCACAGGUUGGAGAAAUAACAAAGAACAAGCGUGCACAUACCCCCAUGACAAGGGCCAGCAAACAGCUUGCUCAAAGUUUAUUCAAUAAUGAUCCUUCCGCAGGUUCACCUACGGAAA